AUGAACGCUGGCGGCGUGCCUCAUACAUGCCAGUCGAGCGAACGGACGAGAAGCUUGCUUCUCUGAUGUUAGCGGCGGACGGGUAAGUAACACGUGGAUAACCUACCUAUAAGACUGGGAUAACUUCGGGAAACCGGAGCUAAUACCGGAUAAUAUUUUGAACCGCAUGGUUCAAAAGUGAAAGACGGUCUUGCUGUCACUUAUAGAUGGAUCCGCGCUGCAUUAGCUAGUUGGUAAGGUAACGGCUUACCAAGGCAACGAUGCAUAGCCGACCUGAGAGGGUGAUCGGCCACACUGGAACUGAGACACGGUCCAGACUCCUACGGGAGGCAGCAGUAGGGAAUCUUCCGCAAUGGGCGAAAGCCUGACGGAGCAACGCCGCGUGAGUGAUGAAGGUCUUCGGAUCGUAAAACUCUGUUAUUAGGGAAGAACAUAUGUGUAAGUAACUGUGCACAUCUUGACGGCACCUAAUCAGAAAGCCACGGCUAACUACGUG
RNAcentral lists this ribosomal RNA (496 nucleotides) under uncultured bacterium. RNAcentral describes it as "partial 16S ribosomal RNA". It matches the Rfam family "Bacterial small subunit ribosomal RNA", at positions 29 to 507 of the family's 1533-position model. The record is from RNAcentral.